This 803-nucleotide long non-coding RNA is filed under the name Oryctolagus cuniculus (rabbit). Its description in RNAcentral is "lncRNA (ENSOCUG00000034428.1)". Lineage: Eukaryota; Metazoa; Chordata; Mammalia; Lagomorpha; Leporidae. The record is from RNAcentral.
UGAGCCCGCAGGAGUGAUUGUCUGCAUAGGAUGCUAGGUUGCUCUAUUCCGCAAGCCCCAGGGACCACAGCAGCACCCGGCUUCCGUCACAGCUAGGUGCUGGGAUGUGCCAGGCUGGCCCACGGCACCAGAACCAGGCCCAGACUUGCUGUACUCAUUCCUUCCUGUUUUGGGGUUUGGUGGGUUUCCAAGUGCUUCUGUGGGGGCCACCAGAUUUGGGCAUCUUUUAAGCACCCCAAGAGAGGGUUCCACGAGAGGGUUUUCUGAUUUCCCCUCUACUGGUGAGGAAAGUGAGGUAGGGAAAGGCCAAGAGCGCUGGCCAAGGUCACAGGACUGGCUAGCCGGUCGCAGAGUCAAGGCUCACGCCCCGGUUCUCAUGCUGGGACGUGCCCCAGGCCACUGCGCAGGCUCAGGUCCCAAAGCAAACACCUGGGGCUCUUCGCAUCUCUUGCAUAUAUAGUCCUUUUCCAGUAAAUCAGCAUGGGCGACUUUUCCCCCAAGAGGUUUGUUUUCCAGGUACAAUAUAAGCUCAAGAAAACGGACCCAACAAUUAUGCAACAUAAUUAUGUCAUAACAACUUCAUUGCACAUAAUGCUUUAAAGUAGGUUUGGAUGAAGUUCUCAAUCACUUUGGUAUAUGUUGUUCAGGGACUUCUACUAGAAAUACAGAAAUUCUAAGUCCCCUCAAUCCCCAUUCUUUGAUAAAAUGGACAAGUCUUUGGUUAAAGUUCUACAUUUUGGGCAUUUAUUAUCGAUUACGAUGGUCCCCAAACCACCAAUAAAUGGUGAUGUACUAUUAGUUCA